Molecule: ribosomal RNA, 433 nt
Filed under: uncultured bacterium
Lineage: Bacteria
Description: partial 16S ribosomal RNA
Rfam family: Bacterial small subunit ribosomal RNA
Source: RNAcentral
AACGAACGCUGGCGGCAUGCCUAACACAUGCAAGUCGAACGAGACCUUCGGGUCUAGUGGCGCACGGGUGCGUAACGCGUGGGAACCUGCCCUUAGGUUCGGAAUAACUCCCCGAAAGGGGUGCUAAUACCGGAUAAUGUCUUCGGACCAAAGAUUUAUCGCCUUUGGAUGGGCCCGCGUUGGAUUAGCUAGUUGGUAGGGUAAAAGCCUACCAAGGCGACGAUCCAUAGCUGGUCUGAGAGGAUGAUCAGCCACACUGGGACUGAGACACGGCCCAGACUCCUACGGGAGGCAGCAGUGGGGAAUAUUGGACAAUGGGCGAAAGCCUGAUCCAGCAAUGACGCGUGAGUGAUGAAGGCCUUAGGGUUGUAAAGCUCUUUUACCCGGGAUGAUAAUGACAGUACCGGGAGAAUAAGCCCCGGCUAACUACGUG